GGGGGAUAUUGCACAAUGGAGGAAACUCUGAUGCAGCAACGCCGCGUGAAGGAAGAAGGCCUUCGGGUUGUAAACUUCUUUGAUCAGGGACGAAGGAAAUGACUGUACCUGAAGAACAAGCCACGGCUAACUACGUGCCAGCAGCCGCGGUAAUACGUAGGUGGCAAGCGUUGUCCGGAAUUACUGGGUGUAAAGGGCGUGUAGGCGGGGAGGUAAGUCAGAUGUGAAAUUCCAGGGCUCAACCCUGGAGCUGCAUCUGAAACUAUCUUUCUUGAGUGCUGGAGAGGAAAGCGGAAUUCCUAGUGUAGCGGUGAAAUGCGUAGAUAUUAGGAGGAACACCAGUGGCGAAGGCGGCUUUCUGGACAGUAACUGACGCUGAGGCGCGAAAGCGUGGGGAGCAAAC
RNAcentral lists this ribosomal RNA (403 nucleotides) under uncultured bacterium. RNAcentral's name for it is "bacterial SSU rRNA". It matches the Rfam family "Bacterial small subunit ribosomal RNA", at positions 356 to 773 of the family's 1533-position model. The record is from RNAcentral.